This 443-nucleotide ribosomal RNA is filed under the name Salmonella enterica. RNAcentral's name for it is "bacterial SSU rRNA". The record is from RNAcentral. Lineage: Bacteria; Pseudomonadati; Pseudomonadota; Gammaproteobacteria; Enterobacterales; Enterobacteriaceae.
AAAUUGAAGAGUUUGAUCAUGGCUCAGAUUGAACGCUGGCGGCAGGCCUAACACAUGCAAGUCGAACGGUAACAGGAAGCAGCUUGCUGCUUYGCUGACGAGUGGCGGACGGGUGAGUAAUGUCUGGGAAACUGCCUGAUGGAGGGGGAUAACUACUGGAAACGGUGGCUAAUACCGCAUAACGUCGCAAGACCAAAGAGGGGGACCUUCGGGCCUCUUGCCAUCRGAUGUGCCCAGAUGGGAUUAGCUGGUUGGUGAGGUAACGGCUCACCAAGGCGACGAUCCCUAGCUGGUCUGAGAGGAUGACCAGCCACACUGGAACUGAGACACGGUCCAGACUCCUACGGGAGGCAGCAGUGGGGAAUAUUGCACAAUGGGCGCAAGCCUGAUGCAGCCAUGCCGCGUGUAUGAAGAAGGCCUUCGGGUUGUAAAGUACUUUCAGC